AACACCUCAAAAGAUUUUCUUUAUUGAAAUGAUUUUGGACUUGAGCAAUCCCAACACCAGUCUUCACGGAUCGGCGGAGGGUUGCUUGAAAUGCAGGUGCAGCUGGACAUUCUCCUGAGCUAAAAGCAUAUCUAUUUAGUCCCGUCAAACGGAUUAUUACUUUUGCUGCAGCUAACAUAAAGGGAGUUUGACCAUUUUGGCUGACUGAUGCAGGAUUUCACAAGGGUCGGUAAAACGAUUUUUGUAAA
This 248-nucleotide unclassified non-coding RNA is filed under the name uncultured Mortierella. Its description in RNAcentral is "partial internal transcribed spacer 2". Lineage: Eukaryota; Fungi; Mortierellomycota; Mortierellomycetes; Mortierellales; Mortierellaceae. The record is from RNAcentral.